Molecule: ribosomal RNA, 238 nt
Filed under: uncultured bacterium
Lineage: Bacteria
Description: partial 16S ribosomal RNA
Rfam family: Bacterial small subunit ribosomal RNA
Source: RNAcentral
ACUCCUACGGGAGGCAGCAGUGGGGAAUCUUGGACAAUGGGGGCAACCCUGAUCCAGCCAUGCCGCGUGAGUGAUGAAGGCCUUAGGGUCGUAAAGCUCUUUCGCCUGUGAAGAUAAUGACGGUAGCAGGUAAAGAAACCCCGCUACNCCGUGCCAGCAGCCGCGGUAAUACGGAGGGGUUAGCGUUGUUCGGAAUUACUGGGCGUAAAGCGCACGUAGGCGGAUCGGAAAGUUGGGG